AAUGGCGUUGAUGACACACUUGCCCUCACUGAUAAAGGUGAUGAGACCUUUAAUGUACUCUACCUGAGCCACA
RNAcentral lists this small nucleolar RNA (73 nucleotides) under Periophthalmus magnuspinnatus. RNAcentral's name for it is "Small nucleolar RNA SNORD103/SNORD85 (ENSPMGG00000024116.1)". The record is from RNAcentral. Lineage: Eukaryota; Metazoa; Chordata; Actinopteri; Gobiiformes; Gobiidae.